UUACUCAUUCCUCCAGUUCGUGGCAGCAGCCGCUCCAGACAGCCUGCCCCCGCUGCAGCAGGGAGGUGCCACCAGGACUACACACUGCAUGGAGCUGGCAGGAGCCCUGCCCCUUCCGAGUUGCAAGCCUGCAACUUUUGCAGCCACCCAAGUUGUAACUGCAGAUCUGAGUCUUCCUGUGGUCUUCCAGGGCAAGCAGGUCCACAAACACCCCAGGCUCAACCAGAGCAAGGCAGAGGAUGGAGAAGCAACCGGAGACUAGAUGACCAGCUGCAGAGGAGCUACCCUCUCUGCUGAGAGCUGGGAAGUCAACAGGGACCUGCCUGCAGAGUGGAGCCACCCACUCCAGGGCCUCCGGGGCCUCCUCUCUACAGAGAGCUGAACGCUGGAGGAGAUGACCUGCCUACAGAGAGGAACUGCCCAUUGUGGGUCUCCUCCCAGCUGUCCUAAGAUUCAAUAAAGCUUUUCUUUGUCUUGCUCACU
Non-coding RNA from Macaca mulatta (Rhesus monkey), 483 nucleotides. Lineage: Eukaryota; Metazoa; Chordata; Mammalia; Primates; Cercopithecidae. The record is from RefSeq and is a predicted model, not a curated record.